Molecule: non-coding RNA, 76 nt
Filed under: Fontibacillus panacisegetis
Lineage: Bacteria; Bacillati; Bacillota; Bacilli; Caryophanales; Paenibacillaceae
Source: RNAcentral
AAGAGCCUUAUGAAUCGAGAGGUUCACGUACGGUUCUGUGAGAACCUGAAGGUGAAACCCCUUCGGGCUACUUGAC